AGUGAAUAGAUACCCAGGUAGUCCUAGCCGUAAACGAUACUCGCUAGGUGUCGGCCACGGUGCGACCGUUGUCGGUGCCGUAGGGAAAGCCGUGAAGCGAGCCACCUGGGAAGUACGGCCGCAAGGCUGAAACUUAAAGGAAUUGGCGGGGGAGCACCACAACGGGUGGAGCUUGCGGUUUAAAUUGGAUUCAACGCCGGAAAUCUUACCGGGACCGACAGCAAUAUGAAGGCCAGGCUGAAGACUUUGCCGGAUUAGCUGAGAGGUGGUGCAUGGCCGUCGUCAGUUCGUACUGUGAAGCAUCCUGUUAAGUCAGGCAACGAGCGAGACCCACGCCCACAGUUGCCAGCGUACUCUCCGGAGUGACGGGUACACUGUGGGGACCGCCGCUGCUAAAGCGGAGGAAGGAAUGGGCAACGGUAGGUCAGUAUGCCCCGAAUAUCCCGGGCUACACGCGAGCUACAAUGGUUGGUACAAUGGGUAUCUACCCCGAAAGGGGAUGGAAAUCUCCUAAAGCCAAUCUAGUUCGGACUGAGGGCUGCAACUCGCCCUC
RNAcentral lists this ribosomal RNA (553 nucleotides) under uncultured bacterium. Its description in RNAcentral is "bacterial SSU rRNA". It matches the Rfam family "Archaeal small subunit ribosomal RNA", at positions 723 to 1275 of the family's 1478-position model. The record is from RNAcentral.